This 430-nucleotide ribosomal RNA is filed under the name uncultured bacterium. RNAcentral's name for it is "bacterial SSU rRNA". It matches the Rfam family "Bacterial small subunit ribosomal RNA", at positions 355 to 776 of the family's 1533-position model. The record is from RNAcentral.
UGGGGAAUUGUUCGCAAUGGGCGCAAGCCUGACGACGCAACGCCGCGUGGAGGACGAAGAUCUUCGGGUCGUAAACUCCUGUCGAGCGGGACGAACACCGCCCGGGUGAAUAGCUCGGGCGGCUGACGGUACCGUUAAAGGAAGCCCCGGCUAACUCCGUGCCAGCAGCCGCGGUAAUACGGGGGGGGCAAGCGUUGUUCGGAAUUACUGGGCGUAAAGAGCUCGUAGGCGGCCUGUUUAGUCGGACGUGAAAUCCCUCGGCUCAACCGAGGAACUGCGUCCGAUACUGGCAGGCUUGAAUCCGGGAGAGGGAUGCGGAAUUCCAGGUGUAGCGGUGAAAUGCGUAGAUAUCUGGAGGAACACCGGUGGCGAAGGCGGCAUCCUGGACCGGUAUUGACGCUGAGGAGCGAAAGCCAGGGUAGCAAACGGG